This 101-nucleotide microRNA precursor is filed under the name Podarcis lilfordi (Lilford's wall lizard). Lineage: Eukaryota; Metazoa; Chordata; Lepidosauria; Squamata; Lacertidae. The record is from RNAcentral.
AGGAAGGAAGGAAGGAAGGAAGGAAGGAAGGAAAGAAAGUGGCUUUCUCUUUUCCUUCCUUCCUUCCUUCCUUCCUUCCUUCCUUCCUUCCUUCCUGUCAU